AGAGUUUGUCCUGGCUCAGAACGAACGCGGCGGCGUGGAUAAGACAUGCAAGUCGAACGCUGAUUACAGGGUAGCAAUAUUCUGUAGUGGAGUGGCGCAAGGGUGCGUAACACGUGGGUAAUCUGCCGUGAAGUCUGGAAUAACUUGCUGAAAGGCGAGCUAAUGCGGAUGUGAAAAUUGGAAGGCAUCUUUUGAUUUUCAAAGUUGGGGACCGCAAGGCCUGACGCUUCACGAUGAACCCGCGGCCUAUCAGCUAGUUGGUGAGGUAACGGCUCACCAAGGCUAAGACGGGUAGCUGGUCUGAGAGGACGACCAGCCACACUGGAACUGAGACACGGUCCAGACACCUACGGGUGGCAGCAGUCGAGAAUUUUUCACAAUGGGGGAAACCCUGAUGGAGCGACGCCGCGUGGGGGAUGAAUGGCUUCGGCCCGUAAACCCCUGUCAUUCGGGAUCAAUGCGUCUGACCUAACACGUCAGACGUUGAUAGUACCGGAAGAGGAAGGGACGGCUAACUCUGUGCCAGCAGCCGCGGUAAUACAGAGGUCCCAAGCGUUGUUCGGAUUUACUGGGCGUAAAGGGUGCGUAGGUGGUCGGGUAAGUCUGAUGUGAAAUCUCGGAGCUCAACUCCGAAACUGCAUUGGAUACUAUUCGGCUUGAGGAUUGGAGGGGGGACUGGAAUUCUCGGUGUAGCAGUGAAAUGCGUAGAUAUCGAGAGGAACACCAGUGGCGAAGGCGAGUCCCUGGACAAAUCCUGACACUAAGGCACGAAAGCUAGGGGAGCAAACAGGAUUAGAUACCCUGGUAGUC
Molecule: ribosomal RNA, 810 nt
Filed under: uncultured bacterium
Lineage: Bacteria
Description: bacterial SSU rRNA
Rfam family: Bacterial small subunit ribosomal RNA
Source: RNAcentral